Molecule: long non-coding RNA, 410 nt
Organism: Liolophura sinensis
Lineage: Eukaryota; Metazoa; Mollusca; Polyplacophora; Chitonida; Chitonidae
Exons: 3
Source: RefSeq, a predicted model, not a curated record
CUUAGGAAGUGUUCUCCAGUGGAGGUUAAGCUGUCACCAAAUUCGUUACCGCUGACAGCUUUGGUUAGCUUUCCCGGAUCGGGUAAUACAUGGGUGCGCCAUAUUGUUCAACAAGCAACAGGUAUUGGAACUGGAAGCGUGUAUUGUGACAAAUUUCUACGGGAUCAUGGAUUUCCCUUUGAAUGUAUCAAAAACGGCUCUGUAGUUUUGAUAAAAACACAUCGAGAAAAGAUUUCCGAACCAAACCUACGAUUUUCCCGUAUAGUUCUCCUACUUCGAAACCCAUUUGAUGCAAUUCGGGCGGAAUUCAAUCGACGUUUUUCUAAGGAAAAUCACAUAGGAUUCGCAUCCGAAACCAGUGUUAAGAAAGACUGGCCACGUGUUUCAAGGGAAAUGAUUACUAACUGGAC